Molecule: ribosomal RNA, 743 nt
Filed under: Verrucomicrobia bacterium SCGC AAA160-P19
Lineage: Bacteria; Pseudomonadati; Verrucomicrobiota
Description: bacterial SSU rRNA
Rfam family: Bacterial small subunit ribosomal RNA
Source: RNAcentral
UAGCUUGCUAAUGAGAUUCUUAGUGGCGGACGGGUUAGUAACACGUGAGAUACCUACCCUUUAGACAGGAAUAGCCCAUGGAAACGUGGAAUAAUACCUGAUAGUCUCUACGGAGUAAAUGAUGCCUUCGGGUGUCGCUAAAGGAUGGGCUCGCGGCCUAUCAGUUUGUUGGUGAGGUAAAGGCUCACCAAGACUACGACGGGUAGCUGGUCUGAGAGGACGAUCAGCAACACUGGAACUGAGACACGGUCCAGACACCUACGGGUGGCAGCAGUCGAGAAUCAUUCACAAUGGAGGAAACUCUGAUGGUGCAACGCCGCGUGGAGGAUGACGGCCCUAGGGUUGUAAACUCCUGUCAUUGGGGAGUAAGACUUAUGCGUUAAGAGCGUGUAAGUUUGAUAGUACCCAAAGAGGAAGGGACGGCUAACUUCGUGCCAGCAGCCGCGGUAAUACGAAGGUCCCAAGCGUUGUUCGGAAUAACUGGGCGUAAAGCGUGUGUAGGCUGCGCGGAAAGUCAAAUGUGAAAGCCAAGGGCUCAACCCUUGAACUGCAUUCGAUACUCCCGUGCUAGAGUAAUGGAGAGGUAAGUGGAAUUCUCGGUGUAGCAGUGAAAUGCGUAGAUAUCGAGAGGAACAUCAAUGGCGAAGGCAACUUACUGGACAUUUACUGACGCUCAGACACGAAGGCUAGGGGAGCGAAAGGGAUUAGAUACCCCUGUAGUCCUAGCAGUAAACGGUGCUCGC